Molecule: ribosomal RNA, 555 nt
Filed under: Rahnella sp. M47T2
Lineage: Bacteria; Pseudomonadati; Pseudomonadota; Gammaproteobacteria; Enterobacterales; Yersiniaceae
Description: bacterial SSU rRNA
Rfam family: Bacterial small subunit ribosomal RNA
Source: RNAcentral
GUAGCUUGCUACUUUGCCGGCGAGCGGCGGACGGGUGAGUAAUGUCUGGGAAACUGCCUGAUGGAGGGGGAUAACUACUGGAAACGGUAGCUAAUACCGCAUGACCUCGCAAGAGCAAAGUGGGGGACCUUCGGGNGCUCACGCCAUCGGAUGUGCCCAGAUGGGAUUAGCUAGUAGGUGAGGUAAUGGCUCACCUAGGCGACGAUCCCUAGCUGGUCUGAGAGGAUGACCAGCCACACUGGAACUGAGACACGGUCCAGACUCCUACGGGAGGCAGCAGUGGGGAAUAUUGCACAAUGGGCGCAAGCCUGAUGCAGCCAUGCCGCGUGUGUGAAGAAGGCCUUAGGGUUGUAAAGCACUUUCAGCGAGGAGGAAGGGUUCAGUGUUAAUAGCACUGNACAUUGACGUUACUCGCAGAAGAAGCACCGGCUAACUCCGUGCCAGCAGCCGCGGUAAUACGGAGGGUGCAAGCGUUAAUCGGAAUUACUGGGCGUAAAGCGCACGCAGGCGGUUUGUUAAGUCAGAUGUGAAAUCCCCGAGCUUAACUUGGGAACU